GUGGGGAAUAUUGGACAAUGGGCGAAAGCCUGAUCCAGCCAUGCCGCGUGUGUGAAGAAGGUCUUCGGAUUGUAAAGCACUUUAAGUUGGGAGGAAGGGCAGUAAGUUAAUACCUUGCUGUUUUGACGUUACCAACAGAAUAAGCACCGGCUAACUUCGUGCCAGCAGCCGCGGUAAUACGAAGGGUGCAAGCGUUAAGCGGAAUUACUGGGCGUAAAGCGCGCGUAGGUGGUUUUGUAAGUUGGAGGUGAAAUCCCCGGGCUCAACCUGGGAACUGCCUCCAAAACUGCAUGACUAGAGUACGGUAGAGGGUAGUGGAAUUUCCUGUGUAGCGGUGAAAUGCGUAGAUAUAGGAAGGAACACCAGUGGCGAAGGCGACUACCUGGACUGAUACUGACACUGAGGUGCGAAAGCGUGGGGAGCAAACAGGAUUAGAUACCCCUGUAGUCC
This 450-nucleotide ribosomal RNA is filed under the name uncultured bacterium. Its description in RNAcentral is "partial 16S ribosomal RNA". It matches the Rfam family "Bacterial small subunit ribosomal RNA", at positions 354 to 796 of the family's 1533-position model. The record is from RNAcentral.